UUGCCACGAGAGAACCUUUAUGGUAACAUUACCUUUCCUUCAUCGUCAACAAAAUUCAAUCACAGAGGGAUCAGGUGGACGAUGAGGCAGGUGUGGUGGUCUAACAUGCAAUAUAUGUUGUCCACUGAAUAAUGGGAUGGGGAAGGACAAAGUGGGAAAGGAAAAUGAAAAAAAAAUCCUCAGCUAUUAAUUUUCUUAAAUGAGUAUAUCUAAUAGUUAUAAUUUGUUUUUCAAUGUGGAAAAAAUGUUUCACUUCUUUACAGUAGAAUUGGUCGAUAAUUAUUAAGACAAAAAUAGAGGAAAUUUGGGAUCCCAAAAUUCAUUUUGAUUUUUCAAUGUUAUUCUAUUUCUUUCCUAUUGUGUUUCGUUGUUAAGCAGGGUAUCAUCUCUUGUUGGUUUGUUUAUCUUCUUCUUGAUGUUGACGAAAUUCGAGACGAAGAGCAACCGUGUGAAGGGCCUGAGCUUCCACAAGAAGCGUCCAUGGAUCCUUGCGAGCCUCCACAGCGGCGUGAUCCAGCUGUGGGACUACCGCAUGGGCACCCUGGUCGAUCGCUUCGAGGAGCACGAGGGCCCCGUCCGUGGCGUCCACUUCCACGACUCCCAGCCCCUCUUCGUCUCCGGCGGCGACGACUACAAGAUCAAGCUGUGGAACUACAAGCUCCACCGCUGCCUCUUCAGCCUCCUGGGCCACCUUGAUUACGUCCGCACCGUCCAGUUCCACCACGAGAGCCCCUGGAUCGUCUCCGCCAGCGACGACCAGACCAUCCGUAUCUGGAACUGGCAGUCCCGCACCUGCAUUUCCGUCCUCACCGGCCACAACCACUACGUCAUGUGCGCCUCUUUCCAUCCCCGCGACGAUCUCCUCGUCUCCGCCUCCCUCGAUCAGACCCUCCGUGUUUGGGACAUCUCCCCUCUCAGGAAGAAAUCCCCCUCCUCCGACGACAUGCCUUUUGGCUCCCCCGACGCCGUCGUCAAGUACGUCUUGGAGGGACACGAUCGGGGCGUCAAUUGGGCCUCCUUUCACCCCGCUCUCCCCCUCAUCGUCUCCGCCGCCGAUGACCGCCAGCUCAAGCUCUGGAGAAUGAACGAUACGAAGGCAUGGGAGGUGGAUACUUUGAGAGGGCACAUGAAUAAUGUGUCAUGUGUUCUUUUUCAUGCCAAGCAGGAUAUUAUUGUGUCCAACUCUGAGGACAAGAGUAUUCGGGUGUGGGAUGCGACCAAGAGGACUGGGAUCCAGACGUUUCGCAGGGAGCAUGAUCGGUUUUGGAUUCUGGCUGCACAUCCUGAAAUGAAUCUGUUGGCGGCCGGUCAUGAUAGUGGGAUGAUUGUGUUUAAGUUGGAGAGGGAAAGGCCUGCGUUUGCUGUGAGUGGUGAUGCUUUGUUCUAUACUAGGGACCGGUUUUUGAGGUUCUAUGAGUUUUCGACACAGAGAGAGACACAGGUGCUGCCAAUUCGGCGGCCUGGAUCUCCAAGUCUUAAUCAGAGUCCAAGGACUCUUUCUUAUAGUCCGAGUGAAAAUGCAGUUCUGCUCUGUUCAGAUAUAGAUGGUGGAUCUUAUGAGCUGUAUUGCAUAUCCAAGGAUGGCUAUGGCAGGGGUGAUUUGCAGGAUGCCAAGAAAGGUGUUGGAGUAUCAGCAGUUUUCGUGGCUCGGAAUAGGUUUGCUGUGCUUGACAGAAGCAGCAACCAAGUCCUUUUGAAAAAUCUCAAGAAUGAGAUUGUUAAAAAGACUGUUCUUCCUAUUGCCACUGAUGCUAUAUUCUAUGCAGGAACGGGCAACUUGAUUUGUAGGUCAGAGGAUAGGGUUGUCCUGUUUGAUCUUCAGCAGAGAAUUGUUCUUGGUGAACUCCAGACCCCUUUUGUCAAGUAUAUUGUCUGGUCUAGUGAUAUGGAAACUGUUGCUUUGCUCAGCAAACAUGCCAUUAUCAUUGCUAACAAGAAGCUUGUGCACCAAUGCACUCUCCAUGAGACCAUUCGUGUAAAAAGUGGAGCCUGGGAUGACAAUGGUGUUUUCAUCUACACGACAUUAAAUCACAUCAAAUACUGCCUUCCCAAUGGAGAUAGUGGGAUAAUAAAGACAUUGGAUGUCCCCAUUUACAUCACUAAGGUUUCUGGAAACACCAUCUUCUGCUUGGAUCGGGAUGGGAAGAAAAGAGCCAUAGCUAUUGAUUCGACUGAAUAUAUUUUUAAACUCUCCUUGUUGAAGAAAAAAUAUGACCAUGUCAUGAACAUGAUAAAGAAUUCGCAGCUUUGUGGGCAGGCUGUGAUUGCUUAUCUCCAGCAAAAAGGCUUUCCUGAGGUUGCCCUCCAUUUUGUGAAUGAUGAGAGAAUACGGUUCAAUUUGGCGUUGGAGAGUGGAAACAUUCAAAUUGCUGUUGCGUCAGCUACAGCGAUUGAUGAGAAAGAUUACUGGUACCGUUUAGGGGUUGAGGCUCUUCGUCAGGGUAAUGCUGGGAUUGUGGAGUAUGCAUAUCAGCGUACCAAAAAUUUUGAGAGAUUAUCUUUCCUUUAUCUCAUCACGGGUAACUUGGAGAAACUUUCGAAGAUGCUGAAAAUUGCUGAAGUAAAGAAUGAUGUAAUGGGCCAGUUUCACAAUGCCAUGUAUAUGGGUGAUGUCCGAGAACGGGUUAAAAUCUUGGAGAAUGUGGGUCAUUUGCCUCUUGCUUACAUCACCGCAUCAGUCCAUGGGCUACAUGAUGUUGCCGAACGGCUUGCAGCUGAACUUGGGAACAAUGUUCCAUCUUUACCCGGGGGAAAAGUACCGUCUCUUUUAAUGCCACCGUCACCGCUCACAUGUGGUGGUGAUUGGCCCCUUCUUAGGGUCAUGCGAGGCUUAUUUGAUGGCGGGCUUGACAACAUGAAUCGGGGUGCCGCUGAUGAAGAAUACGAGGCAGCUGAUGCUGAUUGGGGUGAGGAGCUUGACUUGGUUGAUGUGGAUGACUUACAAAAUGGGGAAGUUGCUGCAAUUUUGGAGGAUGGGGAAGUGGCAGAUGAAAAUGAAGAAGAGGGUGGAUGGGAGAUGGAAGAUUUAGAGCUGCCCCCUGAAGCUGACACCCCAAAGGCUUUUCUCGGUACAAGAUCUGUUUUUGUGGCUCCAACCCCUGGCUUGCCUGUAAGCCAGAUAUGGAUUCAGAAAUCGUCUCUUGCAGCAGAUCAUGCAGCUGCUGGCAACUUUGAUACUGCAAUGCGGUUACUGAACCGUCAGCUUGGGAUAACAAACUUUUCUCCCUUGAGAUCCACAUUUCUUGAUCUUAGUACUGGCAGUCAUUCCUAUCUGCGUGCAUUUUCAUCUGCUCCGGUGAUAUCUUUUGCCAUUGAAAGAGGUUGGACUGAGUCAUCAAGUGCAAAUGUAAGAGGCCUGCCAGCAUUGCCUCUCAGACUGCCACAAUUGGAUGAAAGGCUCAGAGCUGGUUAUAAGUCAACAACUGCCGGGAAAUUUACCGAGGCUCUUAAGGCAUUCACCAGUAUUCUUCAUGCUAUUCCCUUGAUUGUGGUUGAGUCAAGGAGAGAAGUAGAUGAGGUGAAGGAAUUAAUCAUCAUAGUCAAAGAAUAUGUUUUGGGUUUGCAGAUGGAGUUGAAGAGAAGAGAAAUGAAGGACAAUCUAACUCGGCAGCAGGAGCUUGCAGCUUAUUUCACUCACUGCAACCUUCAAACCCCACAUUUGAGGCUAGCUUUGUUGAAUGCAAUGACUGUGUGCUUCAAGGCAAAGAACCUUGCCUCAGCUGCUAACUUUGCCAGGAGGCUGCUUGAGACCAAUCCUACUGUUGAAACCCAAGCCAAGACAGCAAGAAAAGUGCUUGCAGCUGCAGAGACAAAUAUGACUGAUGCCAAACCAUUGAACUAUGAUUUCAGAAACCCAUUUGUUACUUGUGGUGCAACCUAUGUGCCCAUCUAUCGAGGACAAAAGGAUGUCUCUUGCCCUUACUGCACUUCCCGUUUUGUGCCAAGCCAAGAGGGACAGCAAUGUACUGUGUGUGAUCUUGCAGUGGUCGGGGCAGAUGCUUCUGGAUUGCUGUGUUCACCUUCCCAGAUACGUUGAUUCUGCUGCUAGACCAGAAACAUUUUUUCCCCCAAUUUGUUUCAGAUGAUGGUAAAAUAUGUGUUCUAUGUUUAGUCUUAAGGCACCAAGCAACUCAACCAACAACGCAUUGAGAAAUUCUAGCCACAACACAUCAAAUUGCCUGUUCUAAGUGACCCAUUCUUUCUCUUCCCCACCGUGUUUCUCCCUAUCUAGUGCAUGGUGCAUCUGGCUUGUGUCUAAGUUUUGUUAUGACGAUAAAAAUGGACAUUGAGCAUCAAUUAUUGCAGAAGAUCCCUGAAACAGAGGCAGUGGAACCAAUAGCUAAUGAAGAAACCAAUCUUGUGGGUACCAGAUUUGGAGGAAUGGCAUAAGACGGAGAGGGUUAUACAAAGACGGUUGCAGAAAAUUGGAACAACUUUCAACCUUGAACGUGUAUAUCUAAUAUUUCUUGAAGCAAUUUUUACAUGUUAGAAGUAAUGAUUGUCGAGACAUUAUAUAGUUUCCUUUAGAGGCCUUUAUCAAUAACGGAAGCAUUUAGAUGUUUCCUACUAGAACCUAGAAAUAGUUUGGAAGAAUGGAUGCUUCCGAGUGAGUUUCUCUGUUUAUCUAUUUCCCUUUUCCUUUCCUGUUUUAUAUACUUGAAAAAUAUUUUCAACGUGAUAUACCUAUUUCAUAAUUAGGGAUGUUAGUAUUUUAUACACUUAAAUUGAGAGGGUGUGCUUGUGUUGUAUCAGAUGAUGGUAAAAUAUAUGUUGUGUUUAGUUGGGGUCCAAAUUGUUGGUUAUUAAAGAGAGUUGUGUUUAUCUAAUAGUUAAGCAACUCUUUGAAUACACCGAAUAUGAUUGCUGGUUGUAAUCUUGCUCUUUCGUUAUAAAUGUAUGUCAGUUUCCCUUUGAUGA
Molecule: RNA transcript, 4917 nt
Organism: Glycine soja
Lineage: Eukaryota; Viridiplantae; Streptophyta; Magnoliopsida; Fabales; Fabaceae
Gene name: coatomer subunit alpha-1-like
Exons: 4
Source: RefSeq, a predicted model, not a curated record